Molecule: ribosomal RNA, 253 nt
Filed under: uncultured prokaryote
Description: partial 16S ribosomal RNA
Rfam family: Bacterial small subunit ribosomal RNA
Source: RNAcentral
UACGUAGGGGGCAAGCGUUGUCCGGAAUCAUUGGGCGUAAAGAGCGUGUAGGCGGCUCGGUAAGUCCGCUGUAAAAGUCCAGGGCUCAACCCUGGAAAGCCGGUGGAAACUGUCGAGCUAGAGUCCGGAAGAGGCGAGUGGAAUUCCUGGUGUAGCGGUGAAAUGCGCAGAUAUCUGGAGGAACACCAGUGGCGAAGGCGGCUUCCUGGCCUGUAACUGACGCUGAGACGCGAAAGCGUGGGGAGCGAACCGG